GAACGUUUAAUAUACCUGAUCGGCUCUAAAAUGUCUCCUAAUGUUAUCAUUUUAUUGGUGAUUUCUGUAGUCGUAGUUUCGGGAAACCAAACUCCUGGAGUAAUAACCAUUGCAAGGUUUCUUAAAGACCUUUCUAAGCGCCUGGACGUCCCAAUCAUCGACUCCCACUUGGUCAAGUCCGAAGGCCUGUGCUCGGCGCGAUGCGUCAGAAACCGCGAAUGCGUUUCUUAUAACUUGAAGAAGAAGCAGACGACCAGUUGUGACGAAAACAUCUUGUGCGAAUUGCUGAAUACGGAUAAAUUCAACGAGACCACUGCUUUCAAAAAGUAGUGUUGACUUCGACUAUUUCUACCCCCCGAGCAAAUGCGUGAAAUCCCCGUGUAAGAAUGGCGGAAGCUGUCGUACUAUUUACAGCACUAACAGCUACCAUUGCAUCUGCACGCCAGGAUGGACAGGAGCAAACUGCGAGACGUUGAUGGUCUGCGGUAGUAUAUUGCGAGGAGAUCCCAACACCAAAGACAUGACCACCAACUACCCAGUGCCAGCCGGUUGGCUAUUGUGCUACAUUGACGACCGUGACACAGCACAUCACGCAACCCCUUGCCAUGACCUCAUAGUCAACAUUCCGGGCUACGUCGACAGUCAGGCUUUGCUUGACGCAGGGGGGAAUUUCGGGUGUUGGCAUGGCUACACAGGGCCAUCGCCUGGUCCCUCAUAUGCGACGAAUAAUAUCAUUCAAAGAGGCUGCGUGGAUGGUAGACAA
Molecule: long non-coding RNA, 763 nt
Organism: Nematostella vectensis (starlet sea anemone)
Lineage: Eukaryota; Metazoa; Cnidaria; Anthozoa; Actiniaria; Edwardsiidae
Exons: 3
Source: RefSeq, a predicted model, not a curated record